UACGUAGGGUGCUAGCGUUGUUCGGAUUCACUGGGCGUAAAGGGUGCGUAGGCGGUCGGGUAAGUCUGAUGUGAAAUCUCACAGCUUAACUGUGAAACUGCAUUGGAUACUAUCCGGCUAGAGGAAUGGAGGGGAGACUGGAAUUCCUGGUGUAGCGGUGGAAUGCGCAGAUAUCAGGAGGAACACCGGUGGCGAAGGCGGGUCUCUGGGCCGUUACUGACGCUGAGGAGCGAAAGCGUGGGGAGCGAACAGG
This 253-nucleotide ribosomal RNA is filed under the name uncultured bacterium. Its description in RNAcentral is "partial 16S ribosomal RNA". It matches the Rfam family "Bacterial small subunit ribosomal RNA", at positions 524 to 776 of the family's 1533-position model. The record is from RNAcentral.